This 469-nucleotide ribosomal RNA is filed under the name uncultured bacterium. RNAcentral's name for it is "partial 16S ribosomal RNA". It matches the Rfam family "Bacterial small subunit ribosomal RNA", at positions 28 to 507 of the family's 1533-position model. The record is from RNAcentral.
GACGAACGCUGGCGGCGUGCUUAACACAUGCAAGUCGAACGGAAAGGCCCUGCUUGCAGGGUGCUCGAGUGGCGAACGGGUGAGUAACACGUGGGUGAUCUGCCCCUUACUUUGGGAUAAGCCUGGGAAACUGGGUCUAAUACUGGAUAGGACCAUGCUGUAGGUGGUGUGGUGGAAAGAUUAGUUUCGGUAAGGGAUGAGCUCGCGGCCUAUCAGCUUGUUGGUGGGGUAAUGGCCUACCAAGGCGUCGACGGGUAGCCGGCCUGAGAGGGUGGACGGCCACAUUGGGACUGAGAUACGGCCCAGACUCCUACGGGACGCAGCAGUGGGGAAUAUUGCACAAUGGGCGCAAGCCUGAUGCAGCGACGCCGCGUGGGGGAUGACGGCCUUCGGGUUGUAAACUCCUUUCAGCCAUGACGAAGCCCUUGUGGUGACGGUAGUGGUAGAAGAAGCACCGGCUAACUACGUG